This 253-nucleotide ribosomal RNA is filed under the name uncultured bacterium. RNAcentral describes it as "partial 16S ribosomal RNA". It matches the Rfam family "Bacterial small subunit ribosomal RNA", at positions 524 to 776 of the family's 1533-position model. The record is from RNAcentral.
UACGUAGGGGGCAAGCGUUGUCCGGAAUCAUUGGGCGUAAAGCGCGUGUAGGCGGCUCGGUAAGUCUGCUGUGAAAGUCCAGGGCUCAACCCUGGGAUGCCGGUGGAUACUGUCGAGCUCGAGUCCGGAAGAGGCGAGUGGAAUUCCUGGUGUAGCGGUGAAAUGCGCAGAUAUCAGGAGGAACACCAAUGGCGAAGGCAGCUCGCUGGGACGUGACUGACGCUGAGGCACGAAAGCGUGGGGAGCGAACAGG